This 614-nucleotide unclassified non-coding RNA is filed under the name Amauroascus aureus. RNAcentral's name for it is "sequence contains 18S rRNA gene, ITS1, 5.8S rRNA gene, ITS2, 28S rRNA gene". The stretch from base 244 to 397 matches the Rfam family "5.8S ribosomal RNA". Lineage: Eukaryota; Fungi; Ascomycota; Eurotiomycetes; Onygenales; Onygenaceae. The record is from RNAcentral.
GUAACAAGGUUUCCGUAGGUGAACCUGCGGAAGGAUCAUUACAGUGCCUUCUGAGCCUGCGUCCCUCGGGGCGUGGGCUUCUGAACGCCCACCCAUGUUUACUUGACCAUUGUUGCCUUGGUGGGCCCGCUGCCUAGGCGGCCGCCGGGGACGCCUAAUCGCGCCCCGGGCCAGCGCCCACCGAAGGACUCUUUGAACCCUAUAUAUGAAAACGGCUGUCUGAGUGAUUAUUUAAUUAAACAAAACUUUCAACAACGGAUCUCUUGGUUCCGGCAUCGAUGAAGAACGCAGCGAAAUGCGAUAAGUAAUGUGAAUUGCAGAAUUCCGUGAAUCAUCAAAUCUUUGAACGCACAUUGCGCCCUCUGGUAUUCCGGAGGGCAUGCCUGUCCGAGCGUCAUUGCAACCCCUCAAGCACGGCUUGUGUGUUGAACGGCUGUCCCUUCGGGGACAGGUUCCAAAUGCAGUGGCAGCGCCCGAUCAUGGUGCCCGAGUGUAUGGGAUUUUUCAUCACUCAAGCGGUAUCGAUUGGCGCUCGCCCUCGAAGCUUAGGCUUCACAUUUAUUUUCUGGUUGACCUCGGAUCAGGUAGGGAUACCCGCUGAACUUAAGCAUAUC